RNAcentral lists this ribosomal RNA (270 nucleotides) under uncultured bacterium. Its description in RNAcentral is "partial 16S ribosomal RNA". It matches the Rfam family "Bacterial small subunit ribosomal RNA", at positions 28 to 296 of the family's 1533-position model. The record is from RNAcentral.
GAUGAACGCUAGCGGCAGGCCUAAUACAUGCAAGCCGAACGGCAAGAACUUUAGCAAUAAGGUUCCUAGAGUGGCGUAAGGGUGCGUAACACGUAUGCAAUCUGCCCGCAACAGGAGGAUAGCUCCCCGAAAGGGGAAUUAACCCUCCAUAGAACCACACGAGGGCAUCCGAGAGUGGUUAAACCAAAGGGGUUGCGGAUGAGCAUGCGGUUGAUUAGCUAGUUGGUAGUGUAAUGGACUACCAAGGCAAUGAUCAAUAGGGGAACUGAG